RNAcentral lists this ribosomal RNA (683 nucleotides) under Clostridium botulinum. Its description in RNAcentral is "bacterial SSU rRNA". It matches the Rfam family "Bacterial small subunit ribosomal RNA", at positions 562 to 1247 of the family's 1533-position model. The record is from RNAcentral. Lineage: Bacteria; Bacillati; Bacillota; Clostridia; Eubacteriales; Clostridiaceae.
AAAGGGUGCGUAGGCGGAUGUUUAAGUGGGAUGUGAAAUCCCCGGGCUUAACCUGGGGGCUGCAUUCCAAACUGGAUAUCUAGAGUGCAGGAGAGGAAAGCGGAAUUCCUAGUGUAGCGGUGAAAUGCGUAGAGAUUAGGAAGAACACCAGUGGCGAAGGCGGCUUUCUGGACUGUAACUGACGCUGAGGCACGAAAGCGUGGGUAGCAAACAGGAUUAGAUACCCUGGUAGUCCACGCCGUAAACGAUGGAUACUAGGUGUAGGGGGUAUCAACUCCCCCUGUGCCGCAGUUAACACAAUAAGUAUCCCGCCUGGGGAGUACGGUCGCAAGAUUAAAACUCAAAGGAAUUGACGGGGGCCCGCACAAGCAGCGGAGCAUGUGGUUUAAUUCGAAGCAACGCGAAGAACCUUACCUGGACUUGACAUCCCUUGCAUAGCCUAGAGAUAGGUGAAGCCCUUCGGGGCAAGGAGACAGGUGGUGCAUGGUUGUCGUCAGCUCGUGUCGUGAGAUGUUAGGUUAAGUCCUGCAACGAGCGCAACCCUUGUUAUUAGUUGCUACCAUUAAGUUGAGCACUCUAAUGAGACUGCCUGGGUAACCAGGAGGAAGGUGGGGAUGACGUCAAAUCAUCAUGCCCCUUAUGUCCAGGGCUACACACGUGCUACAAUGGUAGGUACAAUAAGA